AAUUAACGCUGGCAGUGUGCAUAAUACAUGCAAGUCGAGCGAAGUAUGCCCGCAAGGGUAUGCUUAGCGGCAGACGGGUGAGUAACACGUGAGAAAUCUGCCUUCAAGAAGGGGAUAACGCGCCGAAAGGCACGCUAAUACCCUGUACUAUCCCUAGAGGACAUCCUCAGGGGAUGAAAGCCUUCGGGCGCUUGAAGAGGAUCUUGCGGCCUAC
This 214-nucleotide ribosomal RNA is filed under the name uncultured bacterium. RNAcentral describes it as "partial 16S ribosomal RNA". It matches the Rfam family "Bacterial small subunit ribosomal RNA", at positions 29 to 241 of the family's 1533-position model. The record is from RNAcentral.